CGCCUUUCUCUCCUCCUCCUCCCCCUCCUCGGCCUCCUCCUCCCGGUUCAGCCUUUGUCGCGCGGCGGGGGGCGCCCGGCCCGCGGCUCCCCGGUCAGAGCGGUAGCACCGCGAGACUUGGGGCUGCGGACGGCGGGACCCCCAAGUUGGGCGCCGGCGACUGGCGGGGGCAGAGGGCCGGGCGCUCCCUCGGGCUCGCGCAGGUGCUCGGGCCUGGCCGGGCUGGGACCGCAGGCGCCUCUCCCGCGCUCGCCUAGCCCGGGCUGCCCCCGCACGCCCACGCCCCAGGUGUCCGGGCGCGCUUUACCCAGGGGCGCCGUGCCCAGGCCAGGAGGCCAGGGCGGAGCGGGUGAGGGAGAAGCCCAUUUAGAUUCAGAGGGAAGCCGGUCCUGGGAGACGGCCGCGAGGAACAAAGGCGCCCCAGUGCUGCCCACUUAGCAUGCCAGAGCCGCGCUGCUCGGCUCCCAGGCCGGGGACACGGCCCGGUGUUAAGCGGAGGGUGCCCGACCGCGGGAAUUCCUAAGGCCACGCGCACCUCCAAGGCCACCGCCGCACACAGCUUCGGAGUGCACAGUGCACACGCCCAGGCACAGGCAGCCGGCCCGAGAAAUUGUGAAUGUCUUGGCUUUGAGUUUAUCUGCGUAUCCUGGCGAAGUUUGGAUGCAGAGAACUUGGAGCUGUUGUUUUCUACCAGACACUAGGAUCCCUGAGAGAGCUUCCUACUUCUUGCACUGGUCCAUUGCAAUAAAAGACAGGCGACACGUGGACAACUGCUAGACACUUCCCAAGUCUGGAGUCGGCCGUGCUGUGGUUUUUGCCUCAUGCCUGACUGGACACUGAAAAAGAGGUGAAGAGAUGAGGCGAUAGAACAAAAGAACAGAAAGAUAAUGAAGCUGAGACUAACAUAAUUAUGUAUGCAGCCACAAAUGGAGCACAAAGCAAUUACUGCUUGUGGGAAUUUGAGAGAUGCUCUUUGAAGAGGUGUGAGGGAAUCAGUAAUACUUGCAGUGACUUUUAAGGAGGUGGAGUGUGCUGAUGAAGAUGCCACAAAGAACUGAUGGGAAGUUAUUCCUCUCCCCAACUGCUAUUGUAUCCUUCCUGUAGUGCUGUCUCUGCUUUUUGCAUCUUGCCCAGUAUAUUAUGACACAAAUAAAAAUUCUCUUUUCAUCAUCUUGCAACUUGUAAGAGGCCUGAGAGAAUUCUUGUGCAGGGCCCUUAGA
RNAcentral lists this long non-coding RNA (1220 nucleotides) under Homo sapiens (human). Its description in RNAcentral is "HSALNT0382552". The record is from RNAcentral. Lineage: Eukaryota; Metazoa; Chordata; Mammalia; Primates; Hominidae.